GUUUCCCUGGAAAAUAUAUGAAUGGCAAGUGAAUGGGAAGUUGACUCCUUUGUUACUUAGUUUCAAUAUUUAUCUAGAUUGGGAAUCUCCUUCUGAUGCAGAAUAAAUGGACAGUUCUCCCAAUGGAGUGAUGUAGAAAGCCAAGUCCCCCAAGAUUCUUGGAAUUCCAAUUUCAGGCCAUCCAUGAAAAUGAAACUGUCGGACAAGUCUGCCCAGCUUCUCCUGGUCAUUCAAAGGCAAGAAAACCACAAAUUCAAUGCAGCUUCAAGAGUGGAACGGAACACUGGAAGCCAGCCACAGACCUUAUUAUCUAUAGGAACCUUUUCAUAUAUGGUCAAUGUAAAUUAAUCAUGUGAUUUAUAUAAGUGGGUUGGAAUGUCCUUAAGAAAAAUUUCAUUUCCGCAUCACACUUUAGGCUAUUCAUAACAAAAUAUGUUUUUUUAAAAAUUGGGCAAAGUGGUCAUACCUGCUCCCUUUCAAGAACUUCGAGAUUUCUAGUUGGUUCACCUGAUCCCAAACCACAUAAACCUUCACCUGUGUUCUUUUAUGUUACACCUAUAUGGAAAGCAAUUUUUUAAAACCUGGAAACUAAGACACACUGCUUUUGUUUUCUGCAGGCAAGGUAGGUAGCUAGAAAGUGUGUUUUAUAGGGACUGGAUAUGUACAGUUCAAUUUCUAGUAGCUUGUAUGUAUUACUUGUAUCUAGGUUAGAUUACUGCAAUGUGUUAUAUGUGGGGCUGCCUCUGAAGACAGUUCAGAAACUUCAGCUGCUGUAAAAUUCAGUUGCCAAGUUUUCACUGGGGCAAGACAAGCUGAGCAUAUAGUGCUAAUCCUUGCCCAACAGCACUUGCUGCCAAUUGGUUUCUGGGCCCAUUUUAAAGUGUUGGUGCUGACCUAUGAAGCCUUAAGCAGCUCAGGACCUCAAUACCUUAAGGACCGCUUCUCCCUAUAUGGACCUACCCAGACCCUGCGUUUGGAGGGCCUUUUCUUUGUCCCUCCCCUCCCCAAAAGGUUCAGAGGCUGACAACAUGAGAACAGGCCUUUUUUGUGCUGGCUCCCCAUUUGUGAAAUGCUCUCCCCAGAGAGGCUUGCUUGGUGCCAUCGUUACAUGUCUUUAGGUACCAGGCAAAAACAUUCCUCUUUACCCAAGCCUUUGGCCAUUAAAUAUUCUAUGGCUUUUUAAAUGUGGAGAGACUGUUAUUAUGAUUUUUCUGUGGGGUUUUUUUUUUUUACUAUGCUAUGUAAGUUAUGUUUUUAAUAUUGUACACUGCCCUGGGAUCUUUGGAUAAAGCAUGGUAUAUUAAAUUAAAGUAAAGUAAGUUAAAAAAUAAAGGUAGUGUGUGCAUAUUAAACAGUAAGUAUUACACACAGAAUCAUAGAAUUGUAAGGUUGGAAUAGAUCCUGUGGGCCAUCUAGUCCAACCCCCUGCAUUACAGGAAAGCUGAACAUUGAU
Podarcis raffonei (Aeolian wall lizard) is the source of this 1453-nucleotide long non-coding RNA. RefSeq lists it as uncharacterized. The transcript has 5 exons. The record is from RefSeq and is a predicted model, not a curated record. NCBI's taxonomy places the organism in Eukaryota, Metazoa, Chordata, Lepidosauria, Squamata, Lacertidae.